RNAcentral lists this ribosomal RNA (1380 nucleotides) under uncultured bacterium. Its description in RNAcentral is "bacterial SSU rRNA". It matches the Rfam family "Bacterial small subunit ribosomal RNA". The record is from RNAcentral.
AGAGUUUGAUCCUGGCUCAGGAUGAACGCUGGCGGCGUGCCUAACACAUGCAAGUCGAACGGACUUAUAACGAAACCUAGUGAAUUAUAAGUUAGUGGCGGACGGGUGAGUAACGCGUGGAAAACCUGCCGUAUACUGGGGGAUAACACUUAGAAAUAGGUGCUAAUACCGCAUAAGCGCACAGCUUCGCAUGAAGCAGUGUGAAAAACUCCGGUGGUAUACGAUGGUUCCGCGUCUGAUUAGCUAGUUGGUGAGGUAAAAGCCCACCAAGGCGACGAUCAGUAGCCGGCCUGAGAGGGUGAACGGCCACAUUGGGACUGAGACACGGCCCAGACUCCUACGGGAGGCAGCAGUGGGGGAUAUUGCGCAAUGGGGGAAACCCUGAUGCAGCGACGCCGCGUGAGUGAAGAAGUAUUUCGGUACGUAAAGCUCUAUCAGCAGGGAAGAAUAAUGACGGUACCUGACUAAGAAGCCCCGGCUAACUACGUGCCAGCAGCCGCGGUAAUACGUAGGGGGCAAGCGUUAUCCGGAAUUACUGGGUGUAAAGGGAGCGUAGACGGUGAUGCAAGUCUGGAGUGAAAGGCGGGGGCCCAACCCCCGGACUGCUCUGGAAACUGUGUAACUUGAGUGCAGGAGAGGUAAGCGGAAUUCCUAGUGUAGCGGUGAAAUGCGUAGAUAUUAGGAGGAACACCAGUGGCGAAGGCGGCUUACUGGACUGUAACUGACGUUGAGGCUCGAAAGCGUGGGGAGCAAACAGGAUUAGAUACCCUGGUAGUCCACGCCGUAAACGAUGAUUACUAGGUGUCGGUGGGUAUGGACCCAUCGGUGCCGCAGCAAACGCAGUAAGUAAUCCACCUGGGGAGUACGACCGCAAGGUUGAAACUCAAAGGAAUUGACGGGGGCCCGCACAAGCGGUGGAGCAUGUGGUUUAAUUCGAAGCUACGCGAAGAACCUUACCAGGUCUUGACAUCUUGCGCUAACCUUAGAGAUAAGGCGUUCCCUUCGGGGACGCAAUGACAGGUGGUGCAUGGUCGUCGUCAGCUCGUGUCGUGAGAUGUUGGGUUAAGUCCCGCAACGAGCGCAACCCUUGUUACUAGUUGCCAGCAUUAAGUUGGGCACUCUAGUGAGACUGCCGGUGACAAACCGGAGGAAGGUGGGGACGACGUCAGAUCAUCAUGCCCCUUAUGACCUGGGCUACACACGUGCUACAAUGGACGGUACAACGAGUCGCAAGCUCGCGAGAGUAAGCUAAUCUCUUAAAGCCGUUCUCAGUUCGGACUGUAGGCUGCAACUCGCCUACACGAAGUCGGAAUCGCUAGUAAUCGCGGAUCAGCAUGCCGCGGUGAAUACGUUCCCGGGUCUUGCACACACCGCCCGUCA